UUUGAUGGCUUUGAGCUAAUUGCUUAUUUUUCUGGAUAGACUUGGUAAUAACCUCUGGGAGGAUCAAGUCCCAUUUUUAGGUCCCUUCAUAGAGGAAUAGGAUACCUCGCCCAUAAUCUUCUAUGGCAUUCUUUAAAAUUGGAUUAAUAUGUAACAUAAGAAUGUGCAAACAUCUCACUUGAACCUAUGAAAAGAAGCUUUAUUUUGGC
Molecule: long non-coding RNA, 209 nt
Filed under: Musa acuminata (dwarf banana)
Lineage: Eukaryota; Viridiplantae; Streptophyta; Magnoliopsida; Zingiberales; Musaceae
Description: long non-coding RNA (MACU_LNC006567)
Source: RNAcentral